CAGCCGCCGCGGUAAUACGAAGGGUGCAAGCGUUAGUCGGAAUUACUGGGCGUAAAGCGUGCGUAGGCGGUUUGUUAAGUCUGCUGUGAAAUCCCCGGGCUCAACCUGGGAAUGGCAGUGGAUACUGGCAAGCUAGAGUGUGUCAGAGGAUGGUGGAAUUCCCGGUGUAGUGGUGAAAUGCGUAGAGAUCGGGAGGAACAUCAGUGGCGAAGGCGGCCAUCUGGGACAACACUGACGCUGAGGCACGAAAGCGUGGGGAGCAAACAGGAUUAGAUACCCGCGUAGUCCCUGUCUCUUAUAC
This 301-nucleotide ribosomal RNA is filed under the name uncultured bacterium. RNAcentral's name for it is "partial 16S ribosomal RNA". It matches the Rfam family "Bacterial small subunit ribosomal RNA", at positions 509 to 807 of the family's 1533-position model. The record is from RNAcentral.